Molecule: ribosomal RNA, 242 nt
Filed under: uncultured bacterium
Lineage: Bacteria
Description: partial 16S ribosomal RNA
Rfam family: Bacterial small subunit ribosomal RNA
Source: RNAcentral
GAUCAUGGCUCAGAUUGAACGCUGGCGGCAUGCUUUACACAUGCAAGUCGAACGGCAGCACGGAGAGCUUGCUCUCUGGUGGCGAGUGGCGCACGGGUGAGUAAUACAUCGGAACGUGUCCUGUUGUGGGGGACAACCGGUCGAAAGACCGGCUAAUACCGCAUAAGACCUGAGGGUGGAAAGUAGGGGGAGGUCGCAGACCUCACGCGACGGAAGNGGCCGGACUGACUGAUUAGGUUAGG